This is a long non-coding RNA of Zingiber officinale, 205 nucleotides long. RefSeq lists it as uncharacterized. Lineage: Eukaryota; Viridiplantae; Streptophyta; Magnoliopsida; Zingiberales; Zingiberaceae. The record is from RefSeq and is a predicted model, not a curated record. The transcript has 3 exons.
UGUCUUGGGUAACAGUGAGGGUGUUAAGGGCACAAUUUACUUCGUCCAAGAAGGAGAUGGUCCAACCACCGUCACCGGAUCCAUCACUGGCCUCAAGCCUGGGCUUCAUGGCUUCCAUGUGCAUGCUCUUGGAAACACCACCAAUGGAUGCAUGUCAACUGGGCCUCAUUUUAAUCCUGCUGGAAAGUUACAUGGUGCUCCUGAA